Molecule: ribosomal RNA, 492 nt
Filed under: uncultured bacterium
Lineage: Bacteria
Description: partial 16S ribosomal RNA
Rfam family: Bacterial small subunit ribosomal RNA
Source: RNAcentral
AGUGAACGCUGGCGGUAGGCCUAACACAUGCAAGUCGAACGGCAGCACAGUAAGAGCUUGCUCUUACGGGUGGCGAGUGGCGGACGGGUGAGGAAUACAUCGGAAUCUACUUUUUCGUGGGGGAUAACGUAGGGAAACUUACGCUAAUACCGCAUACGACCUACGGGUGAAAGCAGGGGAUCUUCGGACCUUGCGCGAUUGAAUGAGCCGAUGUCGGAUUAGCUAGUUGGCGGGGUAAAGGCCCACCAAGGCGACGAUCCGUAGCUGGUCUGAGAGGAUGAUCAGCCACACUGGAACUGAGACACGGUCCAGACUCCUACGGGAGGCAGCAGUGGGGAAUAUUGGACAAUGGGCGCAAGCCUGAUCCAGCCAUACCGCGUGGGUGAAGAAGGCUUUCGGGUUGUAAAGCCCUUUUGUUGGGAAAGAAAAGCAGCAGGUUAAUACCCCGCUGUUCUGACGGUACCCAAAGAAUAAGCACCGGCUAAAUUCGUG